GAAGGGACCUAGCGUAGUUCGGAAUUACUGGGCUUAAAGAGUUCGUAGGUGGUUAAAAAAGUUGGUGGUGAAAUCCCAGAGCUUAACUCUGGAACUGCCAUCAAAACUUUUUAGCUAGAGUAUGAUAGAGGAAAGUAGAAUUUCUAGUGUAGAGGUGAAAUUCGUAGAUAUUAGAAAGAAUACCAAUUGCGAAGGCAGCUUUCUGGAUCAUUACUGACACUGAGGAACGAAAGCAUGGGUAGCGAAGAGGAUUAGAUACCCUCGUAGUCCAUGCCGUAAACGAUGUGUGCUAGACGUUGGAAAUUUAUUUUCAGUGUCGCAGCGAAAGCGUUAAGCACACCGCCUGGGGAGUACGACCGCAAGGUUAAAACUCAAAUGAAUUGACGGGGACCCGCACAAGCAGUGGAGCAUGUGGUUUAAUUCGAAGAUACGCGCAGAACCUUACCAACACUUGACAUGUUCGUCGCGACUUUAAGAAAUUAAAGUUUUCGGUUCGGCCGGACGAAACACAGGUGCUGCAUGGCUGUCGUCAGCUCGUGUCGUGAGAUGUUGGGUUAAGUCCCGCAACGAGCGCAACCCUUACUUUUAGUUGCCACCAUUUAGUUGAGCACUCUGAAAGAACUGCCAGUGAUAAGCUGGAGGAAGGUGGGGAUGACGUCAAGUCCUCAUGGCCCUUACGUGUUGGGCUACACACGUGCUACAAUGGCACUUACAAUAGAAGCAAAGAGGCGACUCCCAAGCAAAUCCUAAAAAAGUGCCUCAGUUCGGAUUGUACUCUGCAACUCGAGUACAUGAAGCUGGAAUUGCUAGUAAUCGCGGAUCAGCGCGCCGCGGUGAAUACGUUCCCGGGGUCUU
Molecule: ribosomal RNA, 855 nt
Filed under: uncultured organism
Description: bacterial SSU rRNA
Rfam family: Bacterial small subunit ribosomal RNA
Source: RNAcentral